RNAcentral lists this unclassified non-coding RNA (346 nucleotides) under Hevea brasiliensis (rubber tree). Lineage: Eukaryota; Viridiplantae; Streptophyta; Magnoliopsida; Malpighiales; Euphorbiaceae. The record is from RNAcentral.
GGCAUAGCAGGGUAAUGAGGAGGGGCACGCUCGAAGGACGUGUUCAUGCCGUUGUGCGGGGGACGUUGGCCCUCGCUCGAGGUGGCAGAGAGAGUGGGAGUGGGGGGACUCGAAGGCGAGGUGCGGAGAUGGUCGACGAGAACAAGGACAGGGGGGUCAGCCUCGGUGGUGCGCGGCCCCGAGCCAGAGUGGCCCUUGAUCAUGCCCUGCGAAGCGAGGAAGGUCUUGAUCUUCUCGCGCAGCUCAGUGACGCUGUUGUUCUCCCUCAUCCAGUCUGGCCGCUUGGCACCGAAGCCGAGACAUUGCAACCGGAGACGGACACAAGUCUGACACGCGCCUUCUUCGU